UCCUACGGGAGGCAGCAGUAGGGAAUCUUCCGCAAUGGGCGAAAGCCUGACGGAGCAACGCCGCGUGAGUGAUGAAGGGUUUCGGCUCGUAAAACUCUGUUAUUAGGGAAGAACAAACGUGUAAGUAACUGUGCACGUCUUGACGGUACCUAAUCAGAAAGCCACGGCUAACUACGUGCCAGCAGCCGCGGUAAUAC
Molecule: ribosomal RNA, 197 nt
Filed under: uncultured Staphylococcus sp.
Lineage: Bacteria; Bacillati; Bacillota; Bacilli; Caryophanales; Staphylococcaceae
Description: partial 16S ribosomal RNA
Rfam family: Bacterial small subunit ribosomal RNA
Source: RNAcentral